UGGGGGAUAUUGCACAAUGGGCGAAAGCCUGAUGCAGCGACGCCGCGUGGGGGAUGAAGGCUUUCGGGUUGUAAACCUCUUUCGCUAUCGAACAAGGCCCGCUUAGGGUGGGUUGAGGGUAGGUGGAGAAGAAGCGCCGGCUAACUACGUGCCAGCAGCCGCGGUAAUACGUAGGGCGCGAGCGUUGUCCGGAAUUAUUGGGCGUAAAGGGCUUGUAGGCGGCUUGUUGCGCCUGCUGUGAAAACGCGGGGCUUAACUUCGCGCGUGCAGUGGGUACGGGCAGGCUUGAGUGUGGUAGGGGUGACUGGAAUUCCAGGUGUAGCGGUGGAAUGCGCAGAUAUCUGGAGGAACACCGAUGGCGAAGGCAGGUCACUGCGCCAUUACUGACGCUGAGGAGCGAAAGCAUGGGUAGCGAACAGG
Molecule: ribosomal RNA, 420 nt
Filed under: bacterium
Lineage: Bacteria
Description: partial 16S ribosomal RNA
Rfam family: Bacterial small subunit ribosomal RNA
Source: RNAcentral